RNAcentral lists this ribosomal RNA (301 nucleotides) under uncultured bacterium. RNAcentral's name for it is "partial 16S ribosomal RNA". It matches the Rfam family "Bacterial small subunit ribosomal RNA", at positions 509 to 807 of the family's 1533-position model. The record is from RNAcentral.
CAGUCGCCGCGGGAAUACGGAGGGUGCAAGCGUUAAUCGGAAUUACUGGGCGUAAAGCGCACGCAGGCGGUUUGUUAAGUCAGAUGUGAAAUCCCCGAGCUUAACCUGGGAACUGCAUUUGAAACUGGCAGGCUAGAGUCUUGUAGAGGGGGGUAGAAUUCCAGGUGUAGCGGUGAAAUGCGUAGAGAUCUGGAGGAAUACCGGUGGCGAAGGCGGCCCCCUGGACAAAGACUGACGCUCAGGUGCGAAAGCGUGGGGAGCAAACAGGAUUAGAUACCCCUGUAGUCCCUGUCUCUUAUAC